This 253-nucleotide ribosomal RNA is filed under the name uncultured bacterium. RNAcentral's name for it is "partial 16S ribosomal RNA". It matches the Rfam family "Bacterial small subunit ribosomal RNA", at positions 524 to 776 of the family's 1533-position model. The record is from RNAcentral.
UACGUGGGGGGCAAGCGUUGUUCGGAAUUACUGGGCGUAAAGGGCUCGUAGGUGGCCAACUAAGUCAGACGUGAAAUCCCUCGGCUUAACCGGGGAACUGCGUCUGAUACUGGAUGGCUUGAGAUUGGGAGAGGGAUGCGGAAUUCCAGGUGUAGCGGUGAAAUGCGUAGAUAUCUGGAGGAACACCGGUGGCGAAGGCGGCAUCCUGGACCAACACUGACACUCAGGUGCGACAGCGUGGGGGGCAAACAGG